Long non-coding RNA from Neopsephotus bourkii (Bourke's parrot), 1697 nucleotides. RefSeq lists it as uncharacterized. The transcript has 3 exons. NCBI's taxonomy places the organism in Eukaryota, Metazoa, Chordata, Aves, Psittaciformes, Psittacidae. The record is from RefSeq and is a predicted model, not a curated record.
AGACCACUAGUGAUGGCUAAGUAUUUUGGUUUUUUUGUUGCUGAAAGAUGCUGAAGCAUAGACAUAAGUCAGCUGAUCAGGCUAAACAACACAGUAUCAUGUUAGUCAAUGUAACAGUAAAAGUGGCCUCUGUUGGAGAAAAUGUUUUAGGUGUGUGGUGUAGCUAGGUACUGGGCAUCUAAAGCAGCCGUGGUCCCCAGGAAUCUCCGCAGUGAGCUUAGACAAGGGAGAUUUAAUGUGUUGGGAUGAAAGACAGCAACCGCAAUCUCUGACCUCAUCUCAGAACUGCCCGAGGAUAACUGCAGAAACCACUUUGGCCACUGCAAAAUCUGGCCACAGGGAUUGGCAGGCUGGUAACACCAGACUACACCUAUGUCCUCUUCUGACUGUUAUUCUCUAGUCCUGGCUAUUGUGUAGAUACACAAGUCAUGUCCUAGUCCAGACAACUUUAUCCAGAUAGCAUUCUUACUGCCUUGCCUGGACACUCCUCUUGGCCCUUGCACCAGGAGAUCUAUCUAUGCCCCAUUUGUCAACAAUGAAGUGAAAGAAAGUUCCUCUGGAGGGCCAUUCAGACUGCCAAAGCUAAGUUCCUGCUUAGGCAGAGUGUCUUUCUCUAUCUUUUACUCCCUUGAUGAAAGUGAAGAGGAGAUAGCCUCAACUUUUUGCAGGGGAGCAGGACUUUCCUUCGUUAAAUCUACAGGUUUUGUUUAAGUGUCACAGAAAGCAUAACAGCACCAGGAGGUGGGUGGGGAGGGAAGGAGCUGAUGGUCUCAAUAUAAUCGUUCUUGGCUUCCAUCUGGUAAAGAUGUAGGUGUAUGACUCUAUUUACGCCCUUCACUUUCUCUGUCAUCUGCAGUCAGGCCCCUCUCUCAGAAGUGUUAGUGUUCAGGGAAAGCAGAAUUCUCAUGCUAGCUGGCUGUUGUCAUAGCAAGGCUGAAUUUUCCUGUGACCACACUGACAAUACUAGAGCCCUUUGGGUCCUUUUUUAAAUACUCUGGCAUUGCAUUUUCCAGAUAAGAAUUCUACACAGUUUUAGAGCUGUUUUGUCCCAUUUGAUUUAUACAUCUGUAAUUUGUUAUUAGAUACUUACAUUUGACUGUUGGUCUUCUAGCCCUGCAAUUUAAAGUACGGGGAAAAGAGCAUUAAAGUAUAUUUUAAACAUGUGUCUACCGAAGAGACCUGCAGAGACCAAAAAAGUGUGGGGUUUUUCCCAGUUCUGAAAAGAAAUUGGGAAGAAAUACUGGACUUCUGGAGUUAGCACUUUUUUUUCAAUAUGUGUAAAAUGUGAAUAUACCUAAACCAAAUCAACAGGAUUUUUUUUUUUUUUUGCAAGGAGUGUUCUUAAUAUUUUUAUGUUAGUAUAUUAAGCCAUACAGUAUUUGCUUUAUUUUUAAAGGGAAAAAUUUGAAUAAGACCUAGUGUGAUUGUCCUGUAAUACAGAAACAGGAUAACCAUAGAAGUAACCUGAAUGGAAAUAAAAACAGGGACGGCUGAGUGCCAGCAACCCCUUGACCAUAAGUCUGCAGGCAGCUGUGCCAGAAGUCUGUUUCAUUACACUUUUGCAUUGUGUAAUACAGUUUAUGUUAUUUGAGAUGUGGAGAUGCUGCUCAUUACCACUUCUCUCCAAAAUGUGACCAAAGCUUUGGAGCUGCCUGGCUUUGAAUUAGAGUAACACCGCUGGUGCUCUGUAAUACCUG